Lonchura striata (white-rumped munia) is the source of this 459-nucleotide non-coding RNA. The record is from RefSeq and is a predicted model, not a curated record. NCBI's taxonomy places the organism in Eukaryota, Metazoa, Chordata, Aves, Passeriformes, Estrildidae.
GCCGGGGGCAGCGGGGCAGGGAGGGAACGGGGCGCGCUCGGGGCUCGCAGGAGGCGUUUGAGCUGCAGCAGCAGUAACACCACUGUCUGUCUGACUCAGUGAGUUCAUCAUGACGUCUCUUUCAAGUCUGCUUCUCCAGUCUGUUCCUUCAAGAGAAGGCUUCCUUUUUCAAGAAGGGUUUAAUAGGGGCCUCUGAAUAGAGAAGGCAUUAAAUAAUGAUAUGGAAGUGCAUACAGGUGCUGUUGCAAGUUAUGAUUUCAUGUCCACACCUGCUUGCCUACCAUGGUACUGUGGGGUUGUGAACAUCUCUGGUAUUUAUACAUCCAAGGAGAGGCAAGAACAUAAACUUAUUCUCAAGCUACAGUUGUCACAUCAAAAUGUCCACUCCUCCGUUUGUAAUCGAUGAACAGACAAUCCUUCACACCUCGCUCAAUGGCUUGCUGGGAAGCUUUCAUAACC